Non-coding RNA from Ictidomys tridecemlineatus (thirteen-lined ground squirrel), 1883 nucleotides. NCBI's taxonomy places the organism in Eukaryota, Metazoa, Chordata, Mammalia, Rodentia, Sciuridae. The record is from RefSeq and is a predicted model, not a curated record.
AGUGAGGACAAUGUAGACUGGAAACUCUGCCCACCCAAGAUGGACAUGUGGAAACAAGAAAUAAGCUUUUCAUGUUUUAAGCCCCUAAGAGGUUGGGGUUGUUUGUUACUGCAAUCUAACCUAGCUAAUACUGACUAAUGAUAGUCCAGAUUCCUAUGUUGAAAUCCUAACCCUUAAGGUGAUGGAAUGAGGGGCAAAGCCUUUGGGAGGUGGUUAGGAUGUGAAGGUGGAGCACUUGUGAAUGGAAUUAGUGCCCUGAGAAGGAAGGUUCCAGAGAGCUCAUGCACCAUGAGUGGAUGCGUCUAGAAGACACCAUGUAAGUACAGGAAACAGGCCAUCACUGCAUACUGAAUCUGUUAGAAACUAUAGCCUCUGUAACUAUAUGAAGUAGAUUUCUGUUGUUCUUAUAGUUAAUGGCAUUUUGCUAUAACAACUGAAUGGACUAAGACAAGAGCUGUAAAGUGUGUCCUCCUCUGGGACAGGCAUCUUUCUCAAUCCACUUCCUGCUCUUGUGAUUGGAGUCCCCAAGUAAUUUACAUUUUCAACCAUCACCCUCUGUCUGUCCCGAUUGAUGGACACUUCUUUUGUCAAUACAACUCUGUCAAAAACAGAGCUCCUUUUGUGUUUUAUUCUAAUCAGCCAAUAGCCACAGUUCCUUUUGAGGCAUGAUUCACAUAUUUAUGUUGCUUUUCUUUCUUGUUCCCAGGUCUCUAUCAAUUUAAUUUCAAUUCCCUGAAGAUAUGAGGCUUUAGGAGGAGUUACAUUUUCAGUCUCUUUUCCCUAAACCAUUUUGUUUAGGUGAAAGGGUACUUUUUCUUUUGAACACCACACCAUUAUCUGAACUGUUACUCAGAGACAUCUUGAUACAGGUUUUAACAAUUGAUAUGAUGAUGGCACCCUGAAUUUGUCCCUUGAUACAAGACUGAAGUUUCCAUUGAUCCCUGUUGCUGCUGUUUAGGACUGAGUCUUAUUUCAGGCUUAUCAGUCCCUGGAUUUUUUUUUUUUUUACAUUCUUGCUUGAAAAUGCAUCCAUUUCUUUUUAAACUCACCUCUUUCUUGUAACAUCUUGCCAAAAUAACCAUCAGUACAUGCUACUAACAAUAAUCAUCUCUCCCAGUCUUCUCCCCUAGAGGCAUGAGCUCAUCCAGAACACAAUCUGCAUCCUAAAUUCCUGCAGGCACAGCCUCUUGCUGCCCCCUCCCUCCUUUAUGGCCCUUAUCAAGACAGCAAUUCAUUUCAAUAUCCUAAUUUCUGUAUUAUUUAGCACAUAUGUGGUUAUGUUACAGGAAAAAACCAUCCCCACAUCUCAGUAGCCUAGAACAAAUUGUUUUUCUCUCUUGCUACAUGUUCAGUACAGGUCAGCGAAGGACACGUCUCUAUAUUAGCUUCAUUCAAGGACCCAACACAACAGAACCUCAACCAGGUGGAGCAUCACCAGUAGCCAUGGAAGGCGGAGGAGAACAUAGAAUUGUGAAUCUGUCCAAAGUUCACAGGGACUCUCUGGAACAAAGAGAACGCUGCAGGAAAACCCUCAUCCCCGAGACCCUCAGCUGCAGAGGAAGUGAUGGGCCGCAUCCUUCAGACCCUAGUGUCCCAUAAAUGGAACCCACAUGAUCCGGCCAGAUGGGCACUCACCUGUAACUGUCAGGACCACCUGCAGUUGAUAGCCACUUUGUCUGGUUCACUGUCAUAGUUUAUUAACCUUUUUUCUUAAGUCCAGAGAGCCCAUUGUUUGUUUCUGUCAAUUACAGGAUAGCAUUUGACAGUAUUUCUGUUGUCUCCUACGUACUUGGUGUGCAGUUAAUUUGUGAGGCCACAUCUUGGCUUUGUUGCCUCCUCUGUGGCUUUUCAUUAAAACAACAGUAAAAGUUCCUUUCAGUUUC